CCACCACUAAGCCAGUGGUGAACUCCACAUACGCAUCCUUUGCUGAGGAUACGGUUAACGGAGCGCAAGCGACGUUCAACCUCAAAAGAAGCAGAGGGGGCUUAGUGGUGGGGUGACUGCGUACCUUUUGUAUAAUGGGUCAGCGACUUAUAUUCUGUAGCAAGGUUAACCGAAUAGGGGAGCCGGAGGGAAACCGAGUCUUAAUUGGGCGUUAAGUUGCAGGGUAUAGACCCGAAACCCGGUGAUCUAGCCAUGGGCAGGUUGAAGGUUGGGUAACACUAACUGGAGGACCGAACCGGCUAAUGUUGAAAAAUUAGCGGAUGACCUGUGGCUGGGGGUGAAAGGCCAAUCAAACCGGGAGAUAGCUGGUUCUCCCCGAAAGCUAUUUAGGUAGCGCCUCGUGAAUUCAUCUCCGGGGGUAGAGCACUGUUUCGGCUAGGGGGCCAUCCCGGCUUACCAACCCGAUGCAAACUGCGAAUACCGGAGAAUG
This 490-nucleotide ribosomal RNA is filed under the name Salmonella enterica. RNAcentral's name for it is "partial 23S ribosomal RNA". The stretch from base 89 to 490 matches the Rfam family "Bacterial large subunit ribosomal RNA", at positions 568 to 972 of the family's 2925-position model. RNAcentral also lists the same sequence under 1 other name. The record is from RNAcentral. Lineage: Bacteria; Pseudomonadati; Pseudomonadota; Gammaproteobacteria; Enterobacterales; Enterobacteriaceae.